CUCCCCUUUUUCCUCUCCACCGCAGCGUCGUCCUCGUGCCGCCGCGCCGCCGCCUUCGUGCCGCCGCGCCGCUGCCCUCGGUGCCGCCGCGCCGCACCGUGUGCCGCGCCAGGCGUCGCCUCGCCUUGCGCCGCCGUCGCCGCCACCGCCGUCGGUAAGCCGCCGCCCCUUCCCUCGUUCCGCCGCCGUCGCCGCCCGGGGAGAAAGAAGCCGGGAGGGAGAGAGAGAAAAGAAGAGAGGAAAAAGAAAGAAAAAAAAGAGAAAAAAGAAAAAGAAGAAAGGGAGGGAAAAGAGAAAGAAAGAAGGGAGGAAAAGAAAAGGAAAAAUAAAUAGAAAAUUAGAGAGAGAAUAAGGAGGUUUAGAAAAUUUAAAAUAAUUAGAGUUUAAUUAUAGAUUAAUUAUAGUCGUAGAAUUGCAAAAUUUAAUAUAAUUAUAGAUUAUUUUUGGUAAUCUCUAUAAGUAAUCAAUUCGCGGUAGGAGUUUAGAUUUAUUAAGAGCUAAAUAAUUAUGUUGAAUUCUUAGGAAUGUACUUCUAAAUCACAAAAUGACUUAGGUUAAAAGAUCCAACAAUUCGAAUAAAGUGGUUUCGCAAACUUUGUAGUCAAUAUAAAAAGAUCGAUUCACAUUCGACCUUUUGAGUUAUUUAGAUUUUAAUUGAAUUCUAAUUGAAUUCAAAUCAUUUCCUCGCACGUAAUUUUAGAACCCGAGGGAGUUGCGGAUCCGAACGAGGGUCAAGACCCGCAGGACUACGAGCAAGGCAAGUCAUCACUAUUCCUUGAACAUAUUGAUCCCAAUUGCGAAAUUGUUUUGUUUACAAAUAAAAUUGCAUGCAAUGAUAAACAUCCUACUUGUUAUUAUGCCAUGCCUUGAUUAUUGUUUACCCUUAAAAUCCUUGUAACCAUGAUUACGUAUGAGUCCCUAGUCAAGUAUGACAAUUGCUUAAAAAUGCUAUUCUAGAAUCAUGCAUACUCAUAUUUAUCAAAUGCUAUAUGCUUGGGCAGGUAAUUGAGAUGCGGCAUGUGGAGACAUGAGCGCCACAUUGCCAUGAUGUUGAUGACAUGAUUUGUGAAAGGAGAAACAAAAUUAAACAAUUGUUUUCGACUGGGGCGGACGGAGGAUUUGGGUGGUAUCUGGAAAAGGCUAGUACCGUCCCCGGUCAAUUAAGGACUGAGCCAUGAAGUUAAGCAUGAAACGACCCCCGUACAACCGUACUUCUCGUAUGGGUAUAGACCUAGCGGAUUAGAUAGCCGAGCGGAGGCAAUAUCCCUGCAUAGAUGGUUCACCCCUGAGUGAGGCAGGUGCGCUACGGUGGGACAGGCGUUGAGGUAGGGCCGAGAGGCGUGCCCUACAUCGGUGUCGCCAUUGGUAGGACUGCCAUGAGUGUAUGAGAGAGAGAAUUUAACUUGAACCAUAAUUUAAUAUGUGUGUGAGACUUCUCUUUCCCGGGAGCGCCAGAACUCCUCUCACUGCUAGAAACAUGGACGCCUAGAGUGCAUGAGGAUUUAAGUUCAUGGAGCGGGUACUGCCAAUGCGGGGUUAUCGAAAACCUUUGUCGUGACGCGUCUUAUGUGUUGGGACGAGGCUCAUGUGUUGGGCAGUCACGGAGUGCGGGUAAAGUGUACAUCCACUGCAGUGUGAGUAAACCAAAUCUAUUCGAAUAGCCGUGCUCGCGGUUAUUGAGCACCGGGACGUGUAUUACACUUGGCUAGACUCAAAAUUCUUGACUUGUGUGGGAUGGGAUAUUGCAUGAUGAUUUUUAUGCUGUUGGAGCCACUUCCUGAGAGGCUGGAAGGUGGACGUCCUCAGAAAACCAUGACGACUCAAUGGCGGGAAGCUAUCCUUGGGAUCACAAUGGAUGGUAGACAGAACCGUCGUUGUUUAACUGUGAACACUGGUACUAAAAUUUGAUCAGUCAAUGCUGGGUCUUAGGCUUGUGAAAAGAAUUACAAAACUGGCUUUGCGCAAAGAACCAUGGCCAUCCUUUGAAUACCCCUAUCAUGUGCAUUGUUGCUGUGAUGGCUUGCUGAGUACGGUUGGUACUCACUCUUGCAAUAUAUAAACUUAAUCAGAGGCCGGAGACGAAGCUUCGGAGGAUCCCUACGCGUACUACCAGGAGGGUGAUGAAGACGAUGGCGCCCAAUAGGUCUUAGUUACGGUCGUUGCCUGUGGCAAUGGCGUGCCGCUGCCUAAACUCCGCUGCCUUAUCUACUCUGCUUUUGGAAUGUAUUCCGGACCGCUCGGUCUGAUGAUCUAAGACUAUGCCUGCGGGCUUAUGAUGUAAUAAUCCGCACUAGACUUUCGUGUAUGUGCAUUUGGUAUUUCAGCUAUGAACUCGUGUGUACCAGACUACUUGAUCCAGGGAAAUGGUACUGUUCACACGAUUGAUUCCUGUUAUAAAAACGGGGGUCCACAGAGCUGGUAUCAGAGCCAUACGACUGUAGGAAAAGACAAAAAAGGCGCCCCACCCCUUUUCUAGUUGGCCAAGGGAGAAAUUCCUAUUUAGUAAUACUUUCAAAAAUAAAAAAAAACGUUAUGUUUACAAAACUCUAUACAAUUUUCAUCUUACUCUUAACUAUUUUCUUCACAAAACAAGUUUUACUCUUAGCUGACUUUGGGUUUUUUUUUUCAUCUGAAGGUACAAAAUGAGGCCAGGCCACAAGAAAGCAUUUCAGGAGCAUCCAACCUUACACCAGUAAGACCAACAUACUCUCCUGAGAAAGACAUAACAACAAAUCAGUGAAAACGAUCUCCAAAGAUAGUCUCCCAUCAACCUAUAACUUAUAUGGUGUAAAAUUAUAACUAAUUUACAAUUAUAUCAAAAUUCAACAGAUGAAUCCUAGUGGACAGGCAAUAAAAAAUCUGGCCACAUACAUUUCUUUCUUUUUACCAGGUCAUGAUGGAGGUUUGGUCAAAAUUUAUUAAGAUGAUGGGAGAAACAGAGUGGCCACAUAUAUUUCCACACCCACACAUUUUAAAGUCAUGUAAUAAUAUGAUAAGCACUCAAGGAUGCAUAGCACAUGGGGCUUUCAGUAUUAAUAAUCAGUUUUAGACAUUGCAAAGAGAAUUCAUAUGAUCAUGUGUGAAAGUUCAGUUGAAUAAAGGAGAUAUGAGAUAGGAAAAUAGUUCACCACAUAGAACCCAGGAAGUCGAGAUAGAAAAUAUGAGGCCCCAAUAUCUGGAAAGAGACCCAAUGCUGUUUCUGGCAUAGCAAAAACCUGCAUAGAUAGUAGUAAAAAUACAGAGUCAAACUCUAGGCAUAUGCUGGUAAGCUGUUUAUCCCAUGAAAAGAAUCAAGCAAGCUUUUUUCUGCACCCCUGCUACAUCCUUUUUGAAAAUAUUUAAGUAAAAAUGGAAGCUUCAUAUAGAGUUUGUUCCGUAAUAUAUACCGUGCUCUCUGUGACAACUCGGAACCUUCCAUGUAUAGAAACACCGGCACCUCCACCCAUGACAAUUCCAGUGAGAAGUGAAACCUAGAUAAGAGUGUUGUAGCAUUCAGUGGUAAGCAUUGAGCAAUAAUGACAAUAACAAUUAUGUGGACAAGCAGUUUCAAAGCAAUAGCGAUAGCUCACCUGAGGUUUGUUAUAUGUUGCAAUGAUAUAGUUCAACAGAAAUUCAUUUCGGAAAAAAUGAGCACUAUAUUUCCAGCUAUCUGAUAUAAGAAAUGCAUAGUAGAACUAAUCAAAUGUCAAGAACAAAAUUCUCUAUAUAUUGCAUGUUAACAGUGAAUUAGCAUAUAGCAAAUGGAAAGGCAAUGGAAGUUAAAGAAAAACAGCAUGGAAGCUCAAGAUAUUUGACAUCAGGGUCUCAUGGAUGCAUGAUAUGUUUUAUUUACCAUUAUUUAUAGACCGGACAACUGCAGCAACAUCUCCACCAGCACAAAAUGCUCUUCCUUUCCCCUGACAAAGGAAAAAACAAGUGAUGACAAGAAUGGUAGGGAGUUAUAGAAAUCAAGCUGAGCACAAACAGCAGCAGUAAAGGUAACAGCAGGAGGUAGUAAAGUUGGAAUUAUCCCAAUAAGUCAAGACUCAUAUAUCAGCAACAGAAAAUCAAUUACAUUUACAAAUGGCAAAAGGACAGUUAGCAUGCAACAAAAAGCAUGGACAGCAUUGGUGUUUUACGUUACUACAACUUGGUUGUACAUGAUUCAAACUUCAAUAAGCGGAUGAAACUUUGAAUGCUCGAUUUUGGAAAUUUAAUCGGGUAAUUCAUGUUUGAUGUUAGCUAGUACCUCGUUAUUCUUUUUUUUAAUCAAAGAUAAACCUCAAAAUACAUUGUUUAAAUAUGGAC
Molecule: long non-coding RNA, 4287 nt
Filed under: Oryza sativa (Asian cultivated rice)
Lineage: Eukaryota; Viridiplantae; Streptophyta; Magnoliopsida; Poales; Poaceae
Description: long non-coding RNA (OSAT_LNC001906)
Source: RNAcentral